AAACCGGUGCUGCUGAAUCUGAACGAGUUGAACUGCUUUUUCUUUAGGCUUGCCUUGCAUGCUGCUGGAUGAUAACCGAUACCAAACCUGUCGCAUUUCUCUACCACGUUGACAACUUUACCCCAACCGGGAAGCGGGCCUUUCUCAAAUGUCUGCUUGACACUUUUUACUGAGGAUAGAAUGGUAGCAGAUGAUUAGUUAUGGUUGGCGAUAGUAGAACUGACUUCUUCAAAUUCUAAACUGUGGAGCGGAAUCUCAACAAUCCUCUC
Molecule: long non-coding RNA, 269 nt
Filed under: Lathyrus oleraceus (garden pea)
Lineage: Eukaryota; Viridiplantae; Streptophyta; Magnoliopsida; Fabales; Fabaceae
Description: Pisum sativum (pea) long non-coding RNA (PSAT_LNC025871)
Source: RNAcentral